CUCAUUUCAUUCUAGUGUCUUGUAGGAUACUUUCAUAUAACAGGCAAAACGCAUAAGAAUAUUUAAGCACAGUUACAGUGGUCUAUUUUCAGAUCCUUUUUCACCUUCACUGUAAACAGAUGAACAAAACUUCGGGAAAACUGACAGGAGAAACCGUUUGUUUCUAGUUCUCCACUAUCUUUAACACUCUUCCUCAGCGUUUGUUACCAUUGUUUAGUGCUUUUCUUUUACUCCAGCAAUUUCUGUAAUGUAAGUUAGAGUGUUUUGUUUCUGUUCCCAGGACUGGACAUUUUAAGACUGCUGGAUGUCAAGACCCAGAUGAUGCCAGGCGUUCUGGGAUGUGAUUAAGUGCCAUGAUGCUGCAAAAGCAGAGUUAAAGCUGCAUGGAAGAAAGGAAUCAUGCUUCUUUCACCCUGUGAGAUGUACUUGGGUGACCCAGUGGGAAGGAUUUAAGGCAUGUCUUCAGAAGGUCUAGGUCCCAAUCAGCACAGGAACUUGUUCUGGAAGGCAUCCAGAAAAACUGGGAAUAGAAUUCAUGACAGAUGUGUAGAAGUGAAGGAGAGGUAGACUGUACAGUGUCAGCAGUGAGAAUACACAGUGCCACCAUGAAAGCAUCCAUUGCCCAAAGGGUCGUAGAAGUUGUGACUAUAUCAAAACCUGCUUAUCAACUGAUGAUCUUCCUCUGUAUUGCCCGUCAAAUGGACUGUCAUGGAACCACUACAAGAAAUGUAUGGCUCCAUGGCUUGGCAAUGACAGUGGCGUGCAGGUGGGGACGAGGCUCUCAAGCUCCAUAAGAAAAAUGUAAGUUUUGCUGCAGCUGUACUAGCAACAUUUCACAGUCAUUUACAAAAUAUAAUCAAGGGCCACUACAAAUAAAAAAGGGUACACAUUGUAACA
RNAcentral lists this long non-coding RNA (897 nucleotides) under Calidris pugnax (ruff). Its description in RNAcentral is "lncRNA (ENSCPUG00000007104.1)". Lineage: Eukaryota; Metazoa; Chordata; Aves; Charadriiformes; Scolopacidae. The record is from RNAcentral.